CAGCUCUAAUGUUCCAUGACUAAGCACCUGGAGACUCCUCAGAUUCCAGAACUCUCUGGAAGCAAUGGCUGCUGAGGGGAAGCUGCUGCUUCUUGGCAGAGUCUCAACCAACUGAGCUACAAGGGAAGUCGAUACGGAUGGGUUUAAUAAAAUCUUGGGCAUACGUAGAUGACACUUCUAUCAAAAUGAUCAGCAGACCAAAGAGGAACUUUCAUCCCAAUGGUGAGAUGUUUCCACUCUCCAGACUUAUAAGGACUACCCUAACUUUGCAAACAACCGCUCAAGUCUGUGAUGAAUUGCCCCUCAGUGGUGGCAGGAAAAGUUCACACCCGUGAUCGUCACGCUCAUCAGACGCAAGAUUUACACAGCGCUUUGUACUUUACACCAUAUCUCACUGGAUCAUCACAGCAGCUUUGCAGCCUUGUGGGUGCAGAGGGCAGAUGAGGAAAUUGAGGUUCAGAGAUGAGA
This is a long non-coding RNA of Bos taurus (domestic cattle), 468 nucleotides long. NCBI's taxonomy places the organism in Eukaryota, Metazoa, Chordata, Mammalia, Artiodactyla, Bovidae. The record is from Ensembl.